Molecule: long non-coding RNA, 316 nt
Organism: Ornithorhynchus anatinus (platypus)
Lineage: Eukaryota; Metazoa; Chordata; Mammalia; Monotremata; Ornithorhynchidae
Exons: 3
Source: RefSeq, a predicted model, not a curated record
AGCCCACGACCACCGACUCCCGAGCCCGGGCUCUUUCCACUGAGCCACGCUGCUUCUCGUGGCAGCGGGAGCCUCGGGAGUAGCUAAGAUCCCCGAAGGAAUGAGAAUAGAAGGGGACCAGAACCGAGCGUUCCUUGAGGAACCCCCCCGGUUCGGGAACGGGAGGCAGAGGAAGAGCCAGUGAGAGAUUCAAGGAGGACCGGCUAGAGAAGACGACUGCAGCAAAAUCGAGGAGCGGGCGAGGUGAUCCAGUGCUUGAAAGCGGACAGUGAGGAGUUUCUACGAGAAAUGAUCCAGGCGGCAGAGCGGAGCGUGG